GCCUAAUUGCCCAUGUCAUGAGAAUGUAAGUGUUAUUAUCUCUUAUUAGCCAUGAUACAAUACACUUUCCAAAAUGAAAUUAAUGAAUCAAUGGUUUAUUGACUACCUCAGAGACAGGGGGACUAUGACACUGUGACGGGCUGAGUGUCUGAGCUCCACAGGGGACUGUUCAUGAUCAUACACAGUAUGACACGCAGUGAAAUGCUAAUUGCUGUGCUAUUCCCAACCAGAUACAAGAAUACAACUAAAAUUAAAAAUCAAUCAUAAAAUUAAAGUUAAAAAUCAAGAUUAAAAAGGUGUGCAAAUCAGCAGUGUGUGGAUUGACAGUGAACAGUCAAUAACAGUUAUGAGGUAUAUUAUUGAAGUACAUUAUUGUUAUUAAGUGCAUGUGCAAGAAGCUCCUCCUCAUUCUCUCUGUGUUGGCCUGAAGGGCGCGUGAUGAUGACACGCUGGUAAAGAGGGAAUGAUCUGGAGGAAAUCAGCUGCUUCUAAACAGAGCUAAAACCACAGAGGUGGUGAAGAAGAGCUUAAGAAGGAAGAGAGCAGCAGCAUGACUGACACAGGGUCUUGGCGGUGGAGGAGUACAGGUGUUUUCCCAGGACUGUGUCAGUGGCCCUUCACUAAUCUCUUGACCCUCCUUGGGAAUAUUGAUUUUCCCUGGCUCAGAGUCUUAACUUGGAUAUUUUCCCUGCCUGAAUUACUCAUAUUUUGUACACACACUUGUUCUUCUCUGUGUUCCCCAUAUCACUCUUGACUACCAUUGAAUGUGUUAUGAGGCCACCCUAUUGUGUGCAAUCUAACGAAGCAUGUGAAGUUAAUUACAGUUAAUACAUCACUGGAUCUCAUCCCUCUUUAACCUGAAGGGUCUGUAAUAGCUACUGGUACAAUAAAAAUGGCAAAAUGUUCUUUGCUAAACUUCAUUUUUCGAUAACUAAAGAAAGAAAUUUUAAAAACCUACUUUUCCACCAGUACGUGACUCAUUUUACUGAUGAAUUUUUAUCACGCUUCUCCACAAUGACACACCAAAUGUAAAUUUGUUUGUAUGCUGUUAAAGCCAUGGGUCAGUAGUUCUAAUUUUCUCUAGUCAGACCGUGAAAUAGUGCGAAACCCAUACAGUAUUUCAUCCCUGUUGUGCUCAUGUACAGUCUACUCUACUGUUUCGUUACGGUCAGCAAAGGUCCUGCAAUCAUCUCAAAAUAUACAUAAAUCUUCACAAUGUGGCUUAAAAUGAAGAGCUUCCCCCUCCAGUUGCAUCCCCUAGCUACUCAGCAGCAUUGUUAAAACCAUUUUCUCAUUAAUCUCAGUAUAUUGGCUUGUUAUCUUAAUGACUGCUUAAUUAGUCUGAGCUGCAGUACUAGACUGUGCUAAGAACGCUCCUAUAGACUGAGGCAGAAUUGAAAUAUACAUGAACAAAGCUGACUGAAAAGUCUAUCCACCUUCCGUUCAGUUCCUCAAAAAACCUGAUAGUUUUCUGCAACUUUCAGUGAAAUAUUUCUAGCAGGAACUGUGGGGCAACUGUGGGGUUAUAUCACCUCACAAAAGAAUAAAGCCAGUUAAAUGGCAUUAUAUCUGCAGGCAAUGAGGCACAACGUCAUUUGAAUCCCCCUUAAAAACUGGCAGAUGCAGCUUAAUUGGAGCUUUAGCUGCAAAAAAUAAAAAAUAAAUAAAAAAAAGUUAAUGAAACUACCCUGUUUCUUUUGUAGCUUAGAGUCCUAUUUGUUGCUGACAACAGCUAUCACAGUGGCAAGCAAAUAGGAAAAUACCCUGAAGAGAGGAAAAAAGUAAAAUUCACUGCAUUGUUAUGGCGCUUUUGGUAAUUUUGUUUCACAGGGUUCACAGCAAGCUCAGAUAACUCGAACCUCUUUGUUCAGUUACCUAACAACUGAAGAAAGAUGAGCUGAUAGCUCCGAUUGCUCACUUUGGCUGAAAUAACUCAGCAACUCCUUACUGAUUUUCUGUAAAAUGCUUUGAAAUUCAAAGCACCGUAUGGUUAGAUACUAGUACUUCCUUGUCCUGUGAUCUCUAUAGAAACUGGACAGUGAAAUAUCUCUAAACAUACAGUGAAAUACCUCCCUGCAUUGAUUAAUUGUUAUGUAUAGAGUGUGCUAGUACUAACAGCUUAUGUAGCACUAUUUAAAUGUUGUGGUUUCACUAUUUCAAAAAAUCAACUAAUUAAGUGUCAUCUCUUGUAUAAGAUGAUCUUCAGAAAUUGUGUUAUGCUUUCAAACUUUUAAAUUAUUUAUUUAUUUAUUUUUUUAUUUUUACUUUUUACAAAGAAAUGCCUGGAACACUUUGCAUAAGUGUUACAUGAGUGAUGUGUGCAAGUUAGUAAAUAUGAAGUAAAAACCAGCUGUAAAAACUAAGAUCGUACACAUUAUGACACACAAUGACAGUGUGUGCCUUGAAAGUCCACACUGUCAUUGUGAGCUUUCCACAACAACAGUAUGAGAAUGACAAUAUGAAUAUCAGUAUUAAUACUGGCUAACUACUUAGUGGCUAAGUAAAGAUCCAAACAGAUGCUAGAAUGGCUUUAGACAAGCGGUUACCAUGUGUUGUCCUGUGCCCUUCAAUGGCUAAAGAAUGGAGCCUGCUGUAGAUCCAGUUGAGGCCAAAAUUAUUAGCCC
RNAcentral lists this long non-coding RNA (2624 nucleotides) under Oreochromis niloticus (Nile tilapia). RNAcentral's name for it is "lncRNA (ENSONIG00000024392.2)". Lineage: Eukaryota; Metazoa; Chordata; Actinopteri; Cichliformes; Cichlidae. The record is from RNAcentral.